UUUUAAAAGCUCCCCAGCUGAAUCUAAUGUGCAACUCAGACUGAGAACCUUUCUGUUAAGCCUUUAAAGGACAAACAGAAUUUCCUCAUGAACUGCAUUUGGAGGCUGCAUUUAAUUAUCAUCUGUUUUCAGUCUUUCAUAGAGCCAGUUUGUUAUCAAAAAUAUAAGUUUUCCAAUGUGGCCUGAUCAAUGUAACCUACACUGCAUCCGAUUCUUCCUCUGAUCUGAAUGCUGGGCUUCCAUAAAUGUGGCUGAAGACAGCUUUAGCUUUAAAUUUUUUUUUUUUUUCCGGCAGCUUUCCCAAUCUGUCGGUUCAUUGGGCUUAUGAAAGAACGGAACCUUCUGGUUUUUUCACAUACGCUGCUGUUGAAACGGUCUCCUCUAUCAGGUGGCUCCUGGUUUGGUGUGGAUGCCUUACACGUAAAAGGAUGAUGGAGUCCGAUAUGCUGCCCCAGCAAGAAAAACCAGCAUUUUAGCUCAGACUCCUUCCCUGGAAGCCUUGGCUUUUUGAGCUGAAGGGUCAUUGAAAGACCAGACGGCAGAGAAGCCUUUUAGGUUACUGUUUCCAGAAGCUCCGUGGUUCCGUUAGAAACCCCAGUGCCCUGCAGAAGUGAAGGGGACCGUCCAGCAUUACAUGGGGGAACAGCUGAAUCCUUUGGGAUCCCAGUUGUAAGCAGCUAAUUGUCACAUACCCCUUAUCCCAGCAGGGCUGUGCCUGGCAGACUGUUUGCCUCAACCAGGUGGGCAUCUUGCCUGUCAUGGCAUCUUCUCUCAGCCAAGUAGACACUUGGCUGCAGAAAAUGUCUUCCUUAGCAAAUCUGGGCUCAGGUAAAGAACAUAGCUGGGCCAGCCCAACGCUUGUCUAUUUAGAAUCAACACCCAAGGACUUGGACCUUGGGCGACAUGCUCUUUGGCGGUCUAUCACUAUGCACCCUGCAGGACGAGAGGAAGGAACUCAGUCUCAGCUGGUCUGAAAGCAUGUGGACUUGGAAGUGGCUGAUAUUCGCUCAUCUGUCUUAACUGGGAUAGGCAACUUGGAGGCACCUUUGAAAUCAAGAACCGAGACUGAAUGGCCUGGUGGGUGUGCAGACAAUCCUCCAGGAUGCAUGCAGGGACACCUGACAACAGAGCCUAUUACACGGCCCAGGAAGUGAAGCCGGUGUGUUGUGCUUUCCGGGGCCAGCAGCAGCUCUGAGCACAGGAAGCAAGAUUACAGGUCCUGCCAAAGUGCUGGGCGUGUGGAGCUCUGACAUCAGCGUGUUCCCUGGGAAUGUCUUGACAUUAAUAAUCUUUGUUCUUUGAUCUUUGCUUAAUGGAAAAGAAAGCUUCGCGUGUUCACUGGAAAGGCGGGCAUCCCAGGCUGGCAAGUGGCGCUCAGGCAGGCAGACCAGAAAGGCAGCGUUGAACCUGUCUAGGGCUG
This 1420-nucleotide long non-coding RNA is filed under the name Equus asinus (donkey). RNAcentral's name for it is "lncRNA (ENSEASG00005027164.1)". The record is from RNAcentral. Lineage: Eukaryota; Metazoa; Chordata; Mammalia; Perissodactyla; Equidae.